GCACAAGCGGUGGAGCAUGUGGUUUAAUUCGACGCAACGCGCAGAACCUUACCAGGCCUUGACAUCCCGUGCUAAGCCCAGAGAUGGGUGGUCCCCGCAAGGGGCGCGGAGACAGGUGCUGCAUGGCUGUCGUCAGCUCGUGUCGUGAGAUGUUGGGUUAAGUCCCGCAACGAGCGCAACCCUCGCCUUUAGUUGCCAUCAUUUGGUUGGGCACUCUAAAGGGACCGCCGGCGACAAGCCGGAGGAAGGUGGGGAUGACGUCAAGUCCUCAUGGCCCUUACGGCCUGGGCUACACACGUGCUACAAUGGCGGUGACAGUGGGCAGCGACCACGCGAGUGGAUGCGAAUCCCAAAAAACCGUCCCAGUUCAGAUUGCACUCUGCAACUCGGGUGCAUGAAGGUGGAAUCGCUAGUAAUCGCAGAUCAGCAUUGCUGCGGUGAAUACGUUCCCGGGC
This 455-nucleotide ribosomal RNA is filed under the name uncultured bacterium. Its description in RNAcentral is "bacterial SSU rRNA". It matches the Rfam family "Bacterial small subunit ribosomal RNA", at positions 923 to 1379 of the family's 1533-position model. The record is from RNAcentral.